UACGGAGGAUGCGAGUGUUAUCCGGAUUUAUUGGGUUUAAAGGGUGCGUAGGCGGAUCGUUAAGUCAGUGGUCAAAUUGAGGGGCUCAACCCCUUCCCGCCAUUGAAACUGGCGAUCUUGAGUGGAAGAGAAGUAUGCGGAAUGCGUGGUGUAGCGGUGAAAUGCAUAGAUAUCACGCAGAACCCCGAUUGCGAAGGCAGCAUGCCGGCUUCCUACUGACGCUGAAGCACGAAAGCGUGGGGAUCGAACAGG
RNAcentral lists this ribosomal RNA (252 nucleotides) under uncultured bacterium. RNAcentral's name for it is "partial 16S ribosomal RNA". It matches the Rfam family "Bacterial small subunit ribosomal RNA", at positions 524 to 776 of the family's 1533-position model. The record is from RNAcentral.